Daphnia pulicaria is the source of this 476-nucleotide long non-coding RNA. RefSeq lists it as uncharacterized. The record is from RefSeq and is a predicted model, not a curated record. The transcript is spliced from 2 exons. Lineage: Eukaryota; Metazoa; Arthropoda; Branchiopoda; Diplostraca; Daphniidae.
GUUGAAAAAUUAUGUUAAAGCUAUAAUAUAUAAUAUUGAAAUUUGAAUACUUUACAGGAACCGCCGAUUUUCAACAUAAUCCGCAAUCCGGCUAAUCAGAGCUUGGUCCGCUUCAUCGGAUUUCCCAAAGACGUUUUUGAUGUUUUGUCAGCCAGUUGGAAUUUUACGUGAGUUAUUGAUUUUCAAAUUUAAUUACAUGGAACAUUUAAAAGUUCUUUUUAUUUGCUAAAUAAAAUGAGCCUCCAGGUAUUCUUUCGUCGAGGUAACGCCAAGUAUGGUGAAGAGCAAAGGAUCGGUCGACGCAGCCAUGAUCGAUCAACUUUUGCUAAAGAAUGCUGAUUUAAACGGACGUCUUUCUUCGCCAACUGCCGAACUUUUGACCCACAUAGACUAUACCGUCGCCGUGUCCGUUUUUACUUUCGCCAUCAUCCAGCCGAUGCCACAAAUCCACUAUGGAUUUUCCGCUCCGAUCAAAC